RNAcentral lists this ribosomal RNA (292 nucleotides) under uncultured microorganism. RNAcentral describes it as "partial 16S ribosomal RNA". It matches the Rfam family "Bacterial small subunit ribosomal RNA", at positions 505 to 796 of the family's 1533-position model. The record is from RNAcentral.
GUGCCAGCAGCCGCGGUAAUACGUAGGGUGCGAGCGUUGUCCGGAAUUAUUGGGCGUAAAGAGCUCGUAGGCGGCGUGUCGCGUCGGAUGUGAAAGCCCGGGGCUUAACCCCGGGUUGGCAUUCGAUACGGGCAGGCUAGAGUUCGGUAGGGGAGACUGGAAUUCCUGGUGUAGCGGUGAAAUGCGCAGAUAUCAGGAGGAACACCGGUGGCGAAGGCGGGUCUCUGGGCCGAUACUGACGCUGAGGAGCGAAAGCGUGGGGAGCGAACAGGAUUAGAUACCCUGGUAGUCC